This 497-nucleotide ribosomal RNA is filed under the name uncultured bacterium. RNAcentral's name for it is "bacterial SSU rRNA". It matches the Rfam family "Bacterial small subunit ribosomal RNA", at positions 29 to 526 of the family's 1533-position model. The record is from RNAcentral.
AACUAACGCUGGCGGCGUGCCUAACACAUGCAAGUCGUACGAGAAAGUUGGCUUCGGCCGAUGAGUAAAGUGGCGCACGGGUGAGUAAUGCGUGGAUAAUCUGCCCUUUAGUUGGGAAUAACGUACCGAAAGGUGCGCUAAUACCUGAUAAUACUGCAUAACUACUGUUGUGUAGUCAAAGAAGGCCUCUGUUUACAAGCUUUUGCUGAAGGAUGAGUCCGCGUACCAUUAGCUGGUUGGUGGGGUAAUGGCCUACCAAGGCUACGAUGGUUAGCUGGUCUGAGAGGAUGAUCAGCCACACUGGAACUGAGACACGGUCCAGACUCCUACGGGAGGCAGCAGUGAGGAAUAUUGCGCAAUGGGGGCAACCCUGACGCAGCAACGCCGCGUGAGUGAAGAAGGCCUUCGGGUUGUAAAGCUCUGUUGAAGGGGAAGAGUAAUGACGGUACCCUUCGAGGAAGCCACGGCUAACUACGUGCCAGCAGCCGCGGUAAAAC